RNAcentral lists this ribosomal RNA (450 nucleotides) under uncultured Gammaproteobacteria bacterium. RNAcentral's name for it is "bacterial SSU rRNA". It matches the Rfam family "Bacterial small subunit ribosomal RNA", at positions 45 to 482 of the family's 1533-position model. The record is from RNAcentral. Lineage: Bacteria; Pseudomonadati; Pseudomonadota; Gammaproteobacteria.
GGCCUAACACAUGCAAGUCGAGCGGCAGCGGGAAAGUAGCUUGCUACUUUUGCCGGCGAGCGGCGGACGGGUGAGUAAUGCCUGGGGAUCUGCCCAGUCGAGGGGGAUAACAGUUGGAAACGACUGCUAAUACCGCAUACGCCCUACGGGGGAAAGGAGGGGACCUUCGGGCCUUUCGCGAUUGGAUGAACCCAGGUGGGAUUAGCUAGUUGGUGGGGUAAUGGCUCACCAAGGCGACGAUCCCUAGCUGGUCUGAGAGGAUGAUCAGCCACACUGGAACUGAGACACGGUCCAGACUCCUACGGGAGGCAGCAGUGGGGAAUAUUGCACAAUGGGGGAAACCCUGAUGCAGCCAUGCCGCGUGUGUGAAGAAGGCCUUCGGGUUGUAAAGCACUUUCAGCGAGGAGGAAAGGUUGAUGCCUAAUAUGCAUCAGCUGUGACGUUACUCGC